ACCAAACCGCCGUCGCUCGCCUCGUCUUCUCUUGUGCCUACUUUUGUUGAAGGCCCGCAGCAAAAACCGACCACUGCGGUGUCCGAAAACCCUACUGCUUCUCCACCUCACUCCCUUGCCGAUGGCCCGUAGGCGGAGCGAGAUCGACGGUUGCGACGGCAUUCCUGACGAGGUAUCUCGAAGCGAUUUCCCUGAAGAUUUCGUUUUCGGCGUCGCCACCUCCGCUUACCAGGUUGAAGGAGCAAGAAGAGAGGAUGGAAAAGGUGAUAGUAUUUGGGAUAUUUUCUCAGAAGAAAAAGGGAAUAUAAAGGAUGGGAGCAAUGGAGAAAUUGCAGUAAAUCAGUACCAUCGCUAUAAGGAAGAUGUGGAGCUUAUGGCCAAGUUAGGUUUUGGUGCUUAUCGAUUUUCCAUAUCUUGGUCUCGUAUAUUCCCUGAUGGAUUAGGAACUAAGAUCAGCGAGAAUGGGGUUGCUUAUUAUAACAAUUUGAUCAAUUUCCUACUAGAAAAAGGUAUACAGCCUUAUGUGACACUAUAUCAUUGGGAUCUUCCAUAUUUUCUUCAUGAGUCCAUAGGAGGAUGGCUAUCAGAGAAGAUUGUACACUAUUUUUCAUUAUAUGCCGAAGCUUGUUUUACAAAGUUUGGAGACAGAGUGAAGCACUGGAUUACAAUCAAUGAACCUCUUCAAACAGCUGUAAAUGGAUAUGGUUGUGGAAUCUUUGCUCCUGGAAGACGUGAAAAUUCAUCUGUGGAACCUUAUCUGGCUGCUCACCACCAAAUUUUGGCUCAUGCAGCUGCUGUUUCUGUUUAUAGGAAGAAAUUUAAGGCUGAACAAGGUGGUGAAAUAGGCAUUGCAGUUGAUUGUGAAUGGGCAGAAGCAUAUUCUGAUAAGUUGGAAGAUAAAAUUGCUGCUGAUAGGCGGUUGGAUUUCCAACUUGGAUGGUUUUUGGAUCCAAUAUAUUAUGGAGACUACCCCUUGGUUAUGCGUGAGAGGCUAGGAGAUCGGCUUCCCAAAUUUUCAGAGGCAGAAAAGGAGUUACUGCAGAAUGCAAUUGACUUCGUUGGUCUGAACCAUUAUACAACCAGAUUCAUUGCUCAUGUAGAAAACCCAGGAGAUAUCCAUUUCUAUCAAGUACAACAAAUGGAGAGGAUAGAGAAAUGGCAAUGCGGGGAGGCGAUUGGUGAAAGGGCUGCAUCAGACUGGCUUUAUGUAGUUCCUUGGGGCAUCCGGAAGGUUCUUAACUACAUAGCAAUCAAUUACCACAAUCCUCCAAUUUAUGUUACUGAGAAUGGCAUGGAUCAAGAAGAAUCCGAAACAGCAAUUCUUGAGGAGGUCCUAGAUGAUAAACUGAGAGUGGAAUACUUUAAGAGUUACCUUGCAGCUGUUGCACAAGCAAUCAGGGAUGGAGCCGAUGUACGUGGAUACUUUGCAUGGUCAUUCUUGGACAAUUUUGAGUGGGCCCAAGGAUAUACUAAAAGGUUUGGGCUGGUUUAUGUUGACUAUAAAAAUGGUCUUGCUAGGUAUCCAAAAUCAUCAGCCCUAUGGUUUUCACACUUCUUGAAGUCUAGUGAGGAAGAUGUUGGCAAGCAGGUCAAUCAAGCCUGAUAUGAAGCUAAGGUGCAUUCUCAUGUCUGCCUUCAUGCGCAUACCGUCCCAUCUAGUUUUGCUCUUUGGCUUACAUGGAUACUUUUAAAUCCAACCAAAAUCACUUGUGUAAAAGAAGUUUGAUAAUGAGGCUGAGGCUAAAUGUCCAGUGGUGGGUGGACUCUUACGACCUAAACAUUCAUCACAAGACUAGAAGCUCGUAUGUUAAAAAGAUCUAUAACCCACUUCCUCUUGGUCAACUAUCUUCCCCAGAUGCAUAUAGAUGGUGGCUUGUGCUGCUAAUUUCUGUGCAUUUAGUGGUCAUUCUAAAGGAUCCUUGGAAACUUCGAAAUGAGGGCAUGGUAGAAGGCUUAGGAACUAUUCUGAGUUGAGAUGCACUACACUCCUCCAAUGGCUUCUCAAAAGAAUACUUUUUCUCUGCUAUAUUACCCUUUAUUUUUCCUGAAUUCUAACAAGGUAUUGGUGUGAUCGACAGCCGCAAAUGUUCUCAGUACUUCUUUUGGACUCCAAUCUGCCUCAUCUUGCAGUGACAUCCAAAGCGACGUGGUUCGUUGCAAUCCAUAACACUCCACUACUUCCUCACCUCAAAUCGUCUACCCUCGUCUUUCUUCCCAUUUAUUUGGGCGAGCGCAAUAUCAAUUAAUAUAGAUGAGAAGAUUACUAUAUAUAGUUCUUUUUAUUAUUUAUAAUUUUAUUUUUUAAACUUUUUUUAAUAUUUCUAAAUUGUCCUUUAUAUAUAUAUAUAUAUAUAUAUAUAAUUUUUCUUCUUCCUUCUCCUCUUUUUCUUUCUCCUUGAUAGUGAGCGUCGUUGAUGGUAUGGGUAAAGAGUGAGAUGAACUAAAAAUGAUAAUAUUAUGAUUAUAAAUAAUAAAAUAAUAUUUUUAUUAUUUUGAAGGGAUUAUCAAUAGUAAGGGAUUGUAAUUUGUAAGAUUCUAUAAAUUAUAGUCACAUUUUUUUUUACA
RNA transcript from Musa acuminata AAA Group (dessert banana), 2565 nucleotides. It is a transcript of the gene named beta-glucosidase 4-like, with no coding region annotated. The transcript has 15 exons. NCBI's taxonomy places the organism in Eukaryota, Viridiplantae, Streptophyta, Magnoliopsida, Zingiberales, Musaceae. The record is from RefSeq and is a predicted model, not a curated record.